GACGAACGCUGGCGGCGUGCUUAACACAUGCAAGUCGAACGGAAAGGCCCUGCUUUUGUGGGGUGCUCGAGUGGCGAACGGGUGAGUAACACGUGAGUAACCUGCCCUUGACUUUGGGAUAACUUCAGGAAACUGGGGCUAAUACCGGAUAGGAGCUCCUGCUGCAUGGUGGGGGUUGGAAAGUUUCGGCGGUUGGGGAUGGACUCGCGGCUUAUCAGCUUGUUGGUGGGGUAGUGGCUUACCAAGGCUUUGACGGGUAGCCGGCCUGAGAGGGUGACCGGCCACAUUGGGACUGAGAUACGGCCCAGACUCCUACGGGAGGCAGCAGUGGGGAAUAUUGCACAAUGGGCGGAAGCCUGAUGCAGCAACGCCGCGUGCGGGAUGACGGCCUUCGGGUUGUAAACCGCUUUCGCCUGUGACGAAGCGUGAGUGACGGUAAUGGGUAAAGAAGCACCGGCUAACUACGUGCCAGCAGCCGCGGUGAUACGUAGGGUGCGAGCGUUGUCCGGAUUUAUUGGGCGUAAAGGGCUCGUAGGUGGUUGAUCGCGUCGGAAGUGUAAUCUUGGGGCUUAACCCUGAGCGUGCUUUCGAUACGGGUUGACUUGAGGAAGGUAGGGGAGAAUGGAAUUCCUGGUGGAGCGGUGGAAUGCGCAGAUAUCAGGAGGAACACCAGUGGCGAAGGCGGUUCUCUGGGCCUUUCCUGACGCUGAGGAGCGAAAGCGUGGGGAGCGAACAGGCUUAGAUACCCUGGUAGUCCACGCUGUAAACGGUGGGUACUAGGUGUGGGGUCCAUUCCACGGGUUCCGUGCCGUAGCUAACGCUUUAAGUACCCCGCCUGGGGAGUACGGCCGCAAGGCUAAAACUCAAAGGAAUUGACGGGGCCCCGCACAAGCGGCGGAGCAUGCGGAUUAAUUCGAUGCAACGCGUAGAACCUUACCUGGGUUUGACAUGGAUCGGGAGCGCUCAGAGAUGGGUGUGCCUCUUUUGGGGUCGGUUCACAGGUGGUGCAUGGCUGUCGUCAGCUCGUGUCGUGAGAUGUUGGGUUAAGUCCCGCAACGAGCGCAACCCUUGUUCACUGUUGCCAGCACGUUAUGGUGGGGACUCAGUGGAGACCGCCGGGGUCAACUCGGAGGAAGGUGGGGAUGACGUCAAGUCAUCAUGCCCCUUAUGUCCAGGGCUUCACGCAUGCUACAAUGGCUGGUACAGAGAGUGGCGAACCUGUGAGGGUGAGCGAAUCUCGGAAAGCCGGUCUCAGUUCGGAUUGGGGUCUGCAACUCGACCUCAUGAAGUCGGAGUCGCUAGUAAUCGCAGAUCAGCAACGCUGCGGUGAAUACGUUCCCGGGGCU
RNAcentral lists this ribosomal RNA (1346 nucleotides) under uncultured bacterium. RNAcentral describes it as "bacterial SSU rRNA". It matches the Rfam family "Bacterial small subunit ribosomal RNA", at positions 28 to 1381 of the family's 1533-position model. The record is from RNAcentral.